AGACCCGAAACCCGGUGAUCUAGCCAUGGGCAGGUUGAAGGUUGGGUAACACUAACUGGAGGACCGAACCGACUAAUGUUGAAAAAUUAGCGGAUGACCUGUGGCUGGGGGUGAAAGGCCAAUCAAACCGGGAGAUAGCUGGUUCUCCCCGAAAGCUAUUUAGGUAGCGCCUCGUGAAUUCAUCUCCGGGGGUAGAGCACUGUUUCGGCUAGGGGGCCAUCCCGGCUUACCAACCCGAUGCAAACUGCGAAUACCGGAGAAUGUUAUCACGGGAGACACACGGCGGGUGCUAACGUCCGUCGUGAAGAGGGAAACAACCCAGACCGCCAGCUAAGGUCCCAAAGUCAUGGUUAAGUGGGAAACGAUGUGGGAAGGCCCAGACAGCCAGGAUGUUGGCUUAGAAGCAGCCAUCAUUUAAAGAAAGCGUAAUAGCUCACUGGUCGAGUCGGCCUGCGCGGAAGAUGUAACGGGGCUAAACCAUGCACCGAAGCUGCGGCAGCGAACGUAUCACUUAAAGCGAUUCAGCGGGUUACGAUUGACGGAGCGAAGCGACGUCAAAGCGUAUACAAAGUCGAGUCGGUUUAAGGAUACGUUCGUUGGGUAGGGGAGCGUUCUGUAAGCCUGUGAAGGUGGCCUGUGAGGGUUGCUGGAGGUAUCAGAAGUGCGAAUGCUGACAUAAGUAACGAUAAAGCGGGUGAAAAGCCCG
RNAcentral lists this ribosomal RNA (706 nucleotides) under Salmonella enterica. RNAcentral's name for it is "partial 23S ribosomal RNA". It matches the Rfam family "Bacterial large subunit ribosomal RNA", at positions 711 to 1332 of the family's 2925-position model. Lineage: Bacteria; Pseudomonadati; Pseudomonadota; Gammaproteobacteria; Enterobacterales; Enterobacteriaceae. The record is from RNAcentral.